RNAcentral lists this transfer RNA (72 nucleotides) under Eutreptiella sp. CCMP389. Its description in RNAcentral is "tRNA-Thr". It matches the Rfam family "tRNA". Rfam says of the family: Transfer RNA (tRNA) molecules are approximately 80 nucleotides in length. Their secondary structure includes four short double-helical elements and three loops (D, anti-codon, and T loops). RNAcentral also lists the same sequence under 1 other name. Lineage: Eukaryota; Euglenozoa; Euglenophyceae; Eutreptiales; Eutreptiaceae. The record is from RNAcentral.
GCCUUCUUAGCUCAGUGGUAGAGCAUCGUAUUUGUAAUGCGAUGGCCGCCGGUUCAAAUCCGGCAGAAGGCU